GGUUUCCCUCACCCUGGACGGGGACAGCUUCUACGUCAGUGGUGAGGGGCUGGGCUACAGCCAUGCUCUCUCUGCCAGUCAAAGUUCUGUGUUGCCUCCGUUGCUCUAAAGUUAUACCUAUUAAGCUGCAGCCCCGACUACCACCAGCUUGCUCAUCCCUCUACUCACACAGGGACCCGUCCCCUCACUCUCAUUUAUGCUUCACCUGUGAAUGGUGGUCCUGGGACAGCCACUGCUGGAGCCCGGGUGAGCCUGGAAGCUCCUCCCACUCUGUCCCUCCCUGAUGACAGCCCUCUCCACAGCUCCCUAGCCGGCCACCACAUCCCUGCAUACUUGAUCAUCACCUGUGCCACCAGAAGCCACCACAGGUAUCUGGGGGUGCCUUUUCCUUCCCAAGAGAAGCUCU
Long non-coding RNA from Diceros bicornis minor, 406 nucleotides. RefSeq lists it as uncharacterized. The record is from RefSeq and is a predicted model, not a curated record. The transcript is spliced from 3 exons. Lineage: Eukaryota; Metazoa; Chordata; Mammalia; Perissodactyla; Rhinocerotidae.